This 511-nucleotide ribosomal RNA is filed under the name Battus crassus. RNAcentral's name for it is "partial 16S ribosomal RNA". The stretch from base 391 to 511 matches the Rfam family "Bacterial large subunit ribosomal RNA", at positions 2473 to 2593 of the family's 2925-position model. Lineage: Eukaryota; Metazoa; Arthropoda; Insecta; Lepidoptera; Papilionidae. The record is from RNAcentral.
GUCUUUUUGAAAAUAAUAUAAAGUCUAAUCUGCCCCCUGAUGUUUAUUAAAGGGCUGCAGUAUUUUGACUGUACAAAGGUAGCAUAAUCAAUAGUCUUUUAAUUGGUGACUUGUAUGAAAGAUUGGAUGAAAUAUAAACUGUCUCUAUUUAAUUUAUAAAAUUUAAUUUUUUAGUUAAAAAGCUAAAAUAAUUUUAAAAGACGAGAAGACCCUAUAGAGUUUUAUAAUUUAAUUAAUUAUUAUAAAUAUAUAAACUCAAAAUUUAAAAUUAAUUGAAUUAUUUUGUUGGGGUGAUAGAAAAAUUAAAAUAACUUUUUUUAAAAAAAAAUUAACAUUAAUUUAUGAUUAAAUGAUCCAUUAAUAGUGAUUAAAAGAAAAAAUUACCUUAGGGAUAACAGCGUAAUUUUUUUUUUUAGUUCUUAUAAGAAAAAAAGUUUGCGACCUCGAUGUUGGAUUAAGAUAAAAUUUAAAUGCAAAAGUUUAAAAUUUUUGAUCUGUUCGAUCAUUAAAA